Molecule: ribosomal RNA, 442 nt
Filed under: uncultured archaeon
Lineage: Archaea
Description: bacterial SSU rRNA
Rfam family: Archaeal small subunit ribosomal RNA
Source: RNAcentral
GUGAUAAGGGAACCCCAAGUGCUCAUGUUUUACAUGGGCUUUUGCCAAGUGUAAAAAGCUUGGAGAAUAAGUGGUGGGUAAGACUGGUGCCAGCAGCCGCGGUAACACCAGCGCCACGAGUGGGAACCAUGUUUAUUUGGCCUAAAGCGUCCGUAGCUGGCUUAGUAAGUCCUUUGUGAAAGUGUCAAGCUCAACUUGAUAAAAUACAGAGGAAACUACUAAACUAGAGACCGGGAGGAGUCAGGGGAAUUCUAUGGGGAGCGGUAAAAUGCUAUAAUCCUUAGAGGACCACCUGUGGCGAAGGCGCCUGACUAGAACGGAUCUGACAGUGAGGGACGAAAGCUAGGGGAGCGAUCCGGAUUAGAUACCCGAGUAGUCCUAGCCGUAAACGCUGUGAGCAAGGCGUUGCAUAUUCUAUAGGGAUGUGCAGUGUCGAAACGAA